UACGAAGGGGGCUAGCGUUGCUCGGAAUCACUGGGCGUAAAGGGUGCGUAGGCGGGUCUUAAGUCAGGGGUGAAAUCCUGGAGCUCAACUCCAGAACUGCCUUUGAUACUGAAGAUCUUGAGUUCGGGAGAGGUGAGUGGAACUGCGAGUGUAGAGGUGAAAUUCGUAGAUAUUAGGAAGAACACCAGUGGCGAAGGCGGCUCACUGGUCCGGUACUGACGCUGAGGUGCGAAAGCGUGGGGAGCAAACAGG
Molecule: ribosomal RNA, 252 nt
Filed under: uncultured bacterium
Lineage: Bacteria
Description: partial 16S ribosomal RNA
Rfam family: Bacterial small subunit ribosomal RNA
Source: RNAcentral